Sardina pilchardus (European sardine) is the source of this 2078-nucleotide long non-coding RNA. RefSeq lists it as uncharacterized. The transcript has 3 exons. NCBI's taxonomy places the organism in Eukaryota, Metazoa, Chordata, Actinopteri, Clupeiformes, Clupeidae. The record is from RefSeq and is a predicted model, not a curated record.
ACGCGUCACUGUCUGCGACGAUCUAAGGAGCAUUCCACCACUGUAAGUAGAACAGUCAAAUAAGCAAGGGAAAUUAAUAAGCAUUUAGACGUCCACAAUGAUGAAGUUAUGGCAACAAAACUAAAUAAAACAUAUUGUCGUAUUUGUUAACUUCGAACCCUACUGUAAACUGUAUUAGAAAGCCACUGACAUAAUGCAGCGGUUUGUUACAUCAAAAUGAAAUGCAAUGUAGCUUGCCAGAGCCUCUGCUAGCUAGCUCGAUUAGCUACCUCGGCUACUUUAGUGCUAGUUUAUUGAUUUUGAUUUGGAGGUGUACUUUUGGCAUUGGCAGAUACCGUGUAUGUUUAUGAAUGGAUUUGAACUGAGUAUUUGGUAUUUGGAGAUUAUUUUUCUCUCAGAAACAAGUUGUAAGGUCAGAUGUGUUGUCCUCCUGUGUGUGUGUGUGUGUGUGUGUGUGUGUGUGUGUGUGUGUGUGUGUGUGUGUUUUAUUCUUCUAUCAGUCCCGCUGUAAAACGCUGGAGUACCUGAGCUACUUCCCUGAGGGUGAACACUCGUACAGAGACGCUACGGAGUACUAUGCAGAGGCUUGGAGGUACAGUUACAAGGUCAGAGCCUAGGUGAGUACGGACUCCACCCAAGCAGAGGUGAGUGACAGUCCACCCCAGCACCCACUAAACAUUAGACGUUUGGUGGACGUGCAGAUCAUGUCUUUAUUGCGUCCGUCAUUCCAAGACCAAGUCUGGACGACUGCACAAUGUGCAAAUUAGGUCCGCUAUAUGUCUAACUAGAUAAUCUCUGUUGGACAUUAUACAGAGGUCUCUGGACGUCUCUUUGUUGAUGACUAGUGUUUUUUUGUGUGUGUGUGUGUGUGUGUGUGUGUGUGUGUGUGUGUGUGUGUGUGUGUGUUUGUGUGUUUGUGUGUUUGUGUGUUUUUGUGUUUGUGUUUAUCUCUCUCAGUCCUGCUGUAAACCGCUGGGGUACCUGAGCUACAUCUCUGGAAGUGAGCAUUCGUACAGAGACGCUACGGAGUACUACGCAGAGGCUUGGAGGUACAGUUACAAGGUCAACCCAAGCCUAGGUGAGUACGGACUCCACCCAAGCAGAGGUGAGUGACAGUCCACCCCAGCACCCACUAAACAUUAGACGUUUGGUGGACGUGCAGAUCAUGUCUUUAUUGCGUCCGUCAUUCCAAGACCAAUUCUGGACGACUGCACAAUGUGCAAACUAGGUCCGCUAUAUGUCUAACUAGGUAACCUCUGUUGGACAUUAUACAGAGGUCUCUGGACGUCUCUUUGUUGAUGACUAGUGUUUUUGUGUGUGUGUGUUUGUGUGUUUGUGUUUAUGUCUCUCAGUCCUGCUGUAAACCGCUGGGGUACCUGAGCUACAAUCUCUGGAAGUGAGCAUUCGUACAGAGACGCUACGGAGUACUACGCAGAGGCUUGGAGGUACAGUUACAAGGUCAACCCAAGCAUAGGUGAGUACAGACUCCACCCAAGCAGAGGUGAGUGACAGUCCACCCCAGCACCCACUAAACAUUAGACGUUUGGUGGACGUGAAGAUCAUGUCUUUAUUGCGUCCGAAAUUCCAAGACCAAUUCUGGACGACUGCACAAUGUGCAAACUAGGUCCACUAUAUGUCUAACUAGGUAACUCUGUUGGACAUUAUACAGAGGUCUCUGGACGUCUCUUUGUUGAUGACUAGUGUUUUUGUGUGUGUUUUUGUUUGUGUGUGUGUGUGUGUUUGUGUUUGUGUUUAUCUCUCUCAGUCCUGCUGUAAACCGCUGGAGUACCUGAGCUACAUCUCUGAAACUGAGCAUUCGUACAGAGACGCUAAGGAGUACUACGCAGAGGCUUGGAGGUACAGUUACAAGGUCAACCCAAGCAUAGUCCUGCUGUAAACCGCUGGAGUACCUGAGCUACAUCUCUGAAAGUGAGCAUUCGUAGAGACACGCUACUGAGUACUACGCAGAGGCCUGGAAAUACAGCUUCAAGGUCAACCCCAGCAUUGGUACGGAUAGAAACCAUCCGACCAUAGUCCUGCUGUACAAUGCUGGAGUAGCCUGAGCUACAGUUCUGAAG